UAACACCUGGAAACAGAUGCUAAUACCGGAUAACAACAGAUGAUGCCUAUCAACUGUUUAAAAGAUGGUUCUGCUAUCACUCUUGGAUGGACCUGCGGUGCAUUAGCUAGUUGGUAGGGUAACGGCCUACCAAGGCGAUGAUGCAUAGCCGAGUUGAGAUACUGAUCGGCCACAUUGGGACUGAGACACGGCCCAAACUCCUACGGGAGGCAGCAGGU
Molecule: ribosomal RNA, 218 nt
Filed under: uncultured Lactobacillus sp.
Lineage: Bacteria; Bacillati; Bacillota; Bacilli; Lactobacillales; Lactobacillaceae
Description: partial 16S ribosomal RNA
Rfam family: Bacterial small subunit ribosomal RNA
Source: RNAcentral